Molecule: microRNA, 20 nt
Filed under: Spodoptera frugiperda (fall armyworm)
Lineage: Eukaryota; Metazoa; Arthropoda; Insecta; Lepidoptera; Noctuidae
Description: sfr-miR-10478-3p
Source: miRBase by way of RNAcentral
CACACACGGGUCCCAAGCUG